This 72-nucleotide transfer RNA is filed under the name Ictidomys tridecemlineatus (thirteen-lined ground squirrel). RNAcentral's name for it is "Spermophilus tridecemlineatus (thirteen-lined ground squirrel) tRNA". It matches the Rfam family "tRNA". Rfam says of the family: Transfer RNA (tRNA) molecules are approximately 80 nucleotides in length. Their secondary structure includes four short double-helical elements and three loops (D, anti-codon, and T loops). The record is from Rfam by way of RNAcentral. Lineage: Eukaryota; Metazoa; Chordata; Mammalia; Rodentia; Sciuridae.
GGGGAUGUAGCUCAGUAGUAGAGCACUUGCCUAGUGUUUGUGAUGCCCUGGGUUCAAUCCACAGCAACACCA